GGGGUGUUGGCGCAAUGGCAGCGCGUCCGUCUCCAAUGAUUGGAAUAAGCGGAAGGUUGGGAGUUCAAAUCUCUCACGUCCCA
This is a transfer RNA of Smittium mucronatum, 83 nucleotides long. It matches the Rfam family "tRNA". From Rfam's summary of the family: Transfer RNA (tRNA) molecules are approximately 80 nucleotides in length. Their secondary structure includes four short double-helical elements and three loops (D, anti-codon, and T loops). Further hydrogen bonds mediate the characteristic L-shaped molecular structure. tRNAs have two regions of fundamental functional importance: the anti-codon, which is responsible for specific mRNA codon recognition, and the 3' end, to which the tRNAs corresponding amino acid is attached (by aminoacyl-tRNA synthetases). tRNAs cope with the degeneracy of the genetic code in two manners: having more than one tRNA (with a specific anti-codon) for a particular amino acid; and 'wobble' base-pairing, i.e. permitting non-standard base-pairing at the 3rd anti-codon position. The record is from Rfam. NCBI's taxonomy places the organism in Eukaryota, Fungi, Kickxellomycota, Harpellomycetes, Harpellales, Legeriomycetaceae.